GUUAUAAGGAAGACUUCCCGUUGAUUCUAAGUUGCAGGCAGAGAAGAUGCAGAAGAAUAAGAAUGAAGAAGAAAAAGAAGAAAGUGUGUGAAGGAAAAAAGAGUGGUGAGGCCUAUCAGAUUAUUUUCCUGGAGCUAAUAAGACAAGGUUGGCCAUGUCUUUGGCAAUGUGGCAGUUAUUCAUUUUGGUGGGAGGCUGGGGGAUAAAGGAUAAAGAAUGCAAGGAGACAAUUUGGAUUUAUUGAGUAACACAGCCAUUUCAAAGAACGAGGCUUCUCUGGGGCUGGAAACUGGGUGAAGAAAUUAGAAUGCCAGUAAGAGUCACUUUACCUAACUGGCUACUUGUAGUGCUUCUCUCUUUGCUAUCUGUGUCCUCUUAAUUUGGUAAAAUUUUGGAAUUUUACCAAAUACUGUCAUGUAUAUUAUGUGAUUUGAUUAUUACAAAAG
This 446-nucleotide long non-coding RNA is filed under the name Callithrix jacchus (white-tufted-ear marmoset). RNAcentral describes it as "lncRNA (ENSCJAG00000084535.1)". Lineage: Eukaryota; Metazoa; Chordata; Mammalia; Primates; Cebidae. The record is from RNAcentral.